This 253-nucleotide ribosomal RNA is filed under the name uncultured bacterium. Its description in RNAcentral is "partial 16S ribosomal RNA". It matches the Rfam family "Bacterial small subunit ribosomal RNA", at positions 524 to 776 of the family's 1533-position model. The record is from RNAcentral.
UACGGGGGGGGCAAGCGUUGUUCGGAAUUACUGGGCGUAAAGGGCGCGUAGGCGGCCCGCUAAGUCGAACGUGAAAUCCCCGGGCUCAACCCGGGAACUGCGUCCGAUACUGGAAGGCUUGAAUCCGGGAGAGGGAUGCGGAAUUCCAGGUGUAGCGGUGAAAUGCGUAGAUAUCUGGAGGAACACCGGUGGCGAAGGCGGCAUCCUGGACCGGUAUUGACGCUGAGGCGCGAAAGCCAGGGGAGCAAACGGG